This 729-nucleotide ribosomal RNA is filed under the name uncultured bacterium. Its description in RNAcentral is "bacterial SSU rRNA". It matches the Rfam family "Bacterial small subunit ribosomal RNA", at positions 60 to 749 of the family's 1533-position model. The record is from RNAcentral.
AGUCGAGCGAGUCUGCCUUGAAGAUCGGAGUGCUUGCACUCUGUGAAACAAGAUACAGGCUAGCGGCGGACGGGUGAGUAACACGUGGGUAACCUGCCCAAGAGAUCGGGAUAACACCUGGAAACAGAUGCUAAUACCGGAUAACAACAGAUGAUGCCUAUCAACUGUUUAAAAGAUGGUUCUGCUAUCACUCUUGGAUGGACCUGCGGUGCAUUAGCUAGUUGGUAGGGUAACGGCCUACCAAGGCGAUGAUGCAUAGCCGAGUUGAGAGACUGAUCGGCCACAUUGGGACUGAGACACGGCCCAAACUCCUACGGGAGGCAGCAGUAGGGAAUCUUCCACAAUGGACGCAAGUCUGAUGGAGCAACGCCGCGUGAGUGAAGAAGGGUUUCGGCUCGUAAAGCUCUGUUGUUGGUGAAGAAGGACGGGGGUAGUAACUGACCUUUGUUUGACGGUAAUCAAUUAGAAAGUCACGGCUAACUACGUGCCAGCAGCCGCGGUAAUACGUAGGUGGCAAGCGUUGUCCGGAUUUAUUGGGCGUAAAGCGAGUGCAGGCGGUUCGAUAAGUCUGAUGUGAAAGCCUUCGGCUCAACCGGAGAAUUGCAUCAGAAACUGUCGAGCUUGAGUACAGAAGAGGAGAGUGGAACUCCAUGUGUAGCGGUGAAAUGCGUAGAUAUAUGGAAGAACACCGGUGGCGAAGGCGGCUCUCUGGUCUGUUACUGACGCUGA